ACGGGUGAGUAACGCGUGGGUAACCUACCCUGUACACACGGAUAACAUACCGAAAGGUAUGCUAAUACGGGAUAAUAUAUUUGAGAGGCAUCUCUUGAAUAUCAAAGGUGAGCCAGUACAGGAUGGACCCGCGUCUGAUUAGCUAGUUGGUAAGGUAAAGGCUUACCAAGGCGACGAUCAGUAGCCGACCUGAGAGGGUGAUCGGCCACAUUGGAACUGAGACACGGUCCAAACUCCUACGGGAGGCAGCAGUGGGGAAUAUUGCACAAUGGGCGAAAGCCUGAUGCAGCAACACCGCGUGAGUGAUGAAGGCCUUCGGGUCGUAAAACUCUGUCCUCAAGGAAGAUAAUGACGGUACUUGAGGAGGAAGCCCCGGCUAACUACGUGCCAGCAGCCGCGGUAAUACGUAGGGGGCUAGCGUUAUCCGGAUUUACUGGGCGUAAAGGGUGCGUAGGCGGUCUUUCAAGUCAGGAGUGAAAGGCUACGGCUCAACCGUAGUAAGCUCUUGAAACUGGGAGACUUGAGUGCAGGAGAGGAGAGUGGAAUUCCUAGUGUAGCGGUGAAAUGCGUAGAUAUUAGGAGGAACACCAGUUGCGAAGGCGGCUCUCUGGACUGUAACUGACGCUGAGGCACGAAAGCGUGGGGAGCAAACAGGAUUAGAUACCCUGGUAGUCCACGCUGUAAA
This 685-nucleotide ribosomal RNA is filed under the name uncultured bacterium. Its description in RNAcentral is "bacterial SSU rRNA". It matches the Rfam family "Bacterial small subunit ribosomal RNA", at positions 102 to 806 of the family's 1533-position model. The record is from RNAcentral.